RNAcentral lists this transfer RNA (83 nucleotides) under Cordylochernes scorpioides. RNAcentral's name for it is "tRNA-Thr". The record is from RNAcentral. Lineage: Eukaryota; Metazoa; Arthropoda; Arachnida; Pseudoscorpiones; Chernetidae.
AAAUAAAAGUGUCCAGGGAUGGGAAUCGAACCCACAGUGUUCCGCUUACCUGGCAGAUGCCAUGUCCACUAGGCUAUUUCAUU